AACGAACGCUGGCGGCAUGCCUAACACAUGCAAGUCGAACGAAGGCUUCGGCCUUAGUGGCGCACGGAUGCGUAACGCGUGGGAAUCUGCCCUUUGGUUCGGAAUAACAGCUGGAAACGGCUGCUAAUACCGGAUGAUGACGAAAGUCCAAAGAUUUAUCGCCAGAGGAUGAGCCCGCGUUGGAUUAGGUAGUUGGUGGGGUAAAGGCCUACCAAGCCGACGAUCCAUAGCUGGUCUGAGAGGAUGAUCAGCCACACUGGGACUGAGACACGGCCCAGACUCCUACGGGAGGCAGCAGUGGGGAAUAUUGGACAAUGGGCGCAAGCCUGAUCCAGCAAUGCCGCGUGAGUGAUGAAGGCCCUAGGGUUGUAAAGCUCUUUUACCCGGGAAGAUAAUGACUGUACCGGGAGAAUAAGCCCCGGCUAACUCCGUG
RNAcentral lists this ribosomal RNA (433 nucleotides) under uncultured bacterium. RNAcentral describes it as "partial 16S ribosomal RNA". It matches the Rfam family "Bacterial small subunit ribosomal RNA", at positions 29 to 507 of the family's 1533-position model. The record is from RNAcentral.